Molecule: unclassified non-coding RNA, 452 nt
Filed under: uncultured Glomus
Lineage: Eukaryota; Fungi; Glomeromycota; Glomeromycetes; Glomerales; Glomeraceae
Description: SSU rRNA
Rfam family: Eukaryotic small subunit ribosomal RNA
Source: RNAcentral
AGCAGCCGCGGUAAUUCCAGCUCCAAUAGCGUAUAUUAAAGUUGUUGCAGUUAAAAGCUCGUAGUUGAAUUUCGGGGUUAGUACGCUGGUCGUGCCUUCGGUAUGUACUGGUGUUACUGAUUCCUACCUUCUGAAGAACCGUCAUGUCAUUAAUUUGGUGUGGCGGGGAAUCAGGACUGUUACUUUGAAAAAAUUUAGAGUGUUUAAAGCAGGCUCGCGCUUUGAAUACAUUAGCAUGGAAUAAUGAAAUAGGACGUUUGAUCCUAUUUUGUUGGUUUCUAGGAUUGACGUAAUGAUUAAUAGGGAUAGUUGGGGGCAUUAGUAUUCAAUUGUCAGAGGUGAAAAUUCCUGGAUUUAUUGAAGACUAACUACUGCGAAAAGCAUUUGCCAAGGAUGUUUUCAUUAAUCAAGAACGAAAGUUAGGGAUCGAAGACGAUCAGAUACCGUCGUAG